RNA transcript from Vigna unguiculata (cowpea), 1778 nucleotides. It is a transcript of the gene named hydroxyproline-rich glycoprotein family protein, with no coding region annotated. The record is from RefSeq and is a predicted model, not a curated record. Lineage: Eukaryota; Viridiplantae; Streptophyta; Magnoliopsida; Fabales; Fabaceae.
GCUUUAGAUCUAUCUAGGAGAUUAUGCUGCUUCUUCUAUUAUCAUUCUUUAGGGUUUGCUGAAUUUCAAUUUCCCUUCACUUCGCUACAAUGCACCUUUAGGUUCUCGUGAUUCCUCCAUUUUUCCCUUUCCGUUACUCAUCAAGGUGAUGUUUUUUUCUAAAGGAUUUUGAGCAAAGGUCAGCGUGUAAAACCCCUGUAACUGUUAGAGGAUAGUGUCCCGCUUGUGUUUCUGCAAAAUUUGUUUUCCAGGUACACAAGAUGAUUCAACAUCAAAUUGUGCAGUCCCCUGCUAGACUAGGCCUCGCAAACCCUAAUUCUCCUUCAAUUCCGAACCCUACCCCGCCAAAGCUCCCUCCAACACAGACCCAGCAACCCCAAGACCGCAACUCGUCAACCCCUUCUUCUGCUCUUCUAUCACUCCUCCCACCCCUUCCCAGAGCCCAAGCACUUCUUCUCCAAAUGGCUUCCUUAACUUCCAAGCUCUUUGAAGUUUCCCCUAACCGGUCUCUUUGGGUCACUGCCUUCCGUGGAUCCAUUCCAACUUUCCUCUCGUCUCAUUCAUCCACCCCGCUUGACGCUUCUCCGUCCACUGUAAAAGAAAUAAUUUCCCUCUUUACUGUUCUCCAAACCCAAAUAUUCGAAGCUGUUGCCGAACUCCAAGAGAUUCUUGACCUUCAAGAUGCCAAGCAGAAGAUGGACCGUGAAAUUCGUUCCCAAGACUCAAUGCUACUUGCAUUUUCCAACAAACUCAAAGAUGCUGAGUGCUGCCUAGACAUCCUUGUCGAUGAUUACUCUGAUUAUCGCCGCUCCAAGCGAUCGAAAUCUGGAGAUGAUGAUUCCAUGACUUCAUCAACUGUCUCUUCUCAGUUGAAGCUGUCAGAUAUAUUAUCGUAUGCCCACAAGAUAAGCUACACCACCUUUGCACCACCGGAAUUUGGAGCCGGCCAAGCUCCUCUUCGCGGCGCAUUGCCACCUGCACCGCAAGAAGAGCAAAUGAGAGCUUCUCAGUUGUAUAAUUUUGCCGACCUUGAUGUUGGAUUGCCUAAGGAAGUCGAGUCCAAGGAUAAAAUUGUUGAAGCUAUUGUUGAGCCUCCACCACAGAUGGAUACUAAUACUGUUCCGAAUUUGUCUGCAUUUCAAGGAAUGCUGCCUCCUGUGCCACCUGGUUGGAAGCCGGGAAUGCCUGUCCAAUUGCCUACUGAUUUGCCACUGCCCCCGCCUGGGUGGAAACCAGGGGAUCCUGUGCCAUUGCCUCCAAUGGACUCCCUUCAAAUACCGAGAUUUGCAGAGCAACAAAUGCAACCUCACAUUCCUCAGCCCAAACAACCAGAAGUUAUUCAAGUGCAGCCAGUUAAUUUGGACCUUGGAGGAAGUGACACUAGUGACUAUAGUAGCGAUGAUGUCAGCUCUGAUGAUGAAGAUUGACAAGUUUGUUUAAACUGCUCAAUCACAAAUUGAUAACUGUACAGGCUGAUAUGCUUGAUGCUUAACUAUAAGUGGCAAUUAGGGAGUUUGCUGUCACAUCAUUCAGAAUUAACGUACUCUAGAGUAUCUCACAUGGAUCAGAUAUAUCAUGAAACUAUAUGGGUAGUUCUUUAAUCUCAAUUUUAUGUCCCAUGUUUGUAUUAAAUCUGUUGUUGUUGAAGAUAAUGAUUAAUAUUUAUUUAUUUAUUUAUUUAUUUUUCUCGUGAGUACUCUAGAAUGUGCUUUGCAGUCUUGUUGAGGUAAAUGAGAAGGUGGUUAGUGAGAAAUUUUAGGAAAUUGGCUUCAAGUCUA